UUCCUCCACUAUCCUCUCUAGGAAUCUCCGUUGGGCUUCAAUUUUCAUCUUCAAGCUCUUUUGAACCUCAAGUUGAUCACUCAGUCGUCUUUGCACUUCCAUCUGCAUUUUUAAUGCUUCAUUAAGUUGAGCACCUGAUGUUGCACUGAAAUUUGGCAGCAAUUCUGAUAUAUCUCUCCUCUCGAACUUAACUUUAUGGUUUGAUUCAGGGAUAAACUUUGAGAUCCUGUAUUUCUGUAAGUGGCUCUUGACAUGGUAGAUGGUGAGUCCAGAAACGCUCAUAGCCUUCAAGAUCCCCUUAGGGGUGGCCCUAUCAGGACCACCAAGCUGAUUCACAGCUCUUUCGAACUGAUCAUGUAGUUCUUGAGUCCAACGCAACCGCUCCUUGCCGGAGCCAUCUGUUCGACUCGAACCCAUUAUCAGAAUCAGCUGAUCAAUGAGCAGCAAUGUCCAAGCAAUGCUUGUGAAGGAGGAGGAUUA
RNAcentral lists this unclassified non-coding RNA (480 nucleotides) under Hevea brasiliensis (rubber tree). The record is from RNAcentral. Lineage: Eukaryota; Viridiplantae; Streptophyta; Magnoliopsida; Malpighiales; Euphorbiaceae.